GGGCCUGUAGCUCAGUGGAUUAGAGUUUACGUUUCCGACACGUAAGGCCGGGGGUUCAAGUCCCUCCAGGCUCA
This 74-nucleotide transfer RNA is filed under the name Chloroparvula pacifica. RNAcentral describes it as "tRNA-Arg". It matches the Rfam family "tRNA". Rfam says of the family: Transfer RNA (tRNA) molecules are approximately 80 nucleotides in length. Their secondary structure includes four short double-helical elements and three loops (D, anti-codon, and T loops). Further hydrogen bonds mediate the characteristic L-shaped molecular structure. tRNAs have two regions of fundamental functional importance: the anti-codon, which is responsible for specific mRNA codon recognition, and the 3' end, to which the tRNAs corresponding amino acid is attached (by aminoacyl-tRNA synthetases). tRNAs cope with the degeneracy of the genetic code in two manners: having more than one tRNA (with a specific anti-codon) for a particular amino acid; and 'wobble' base-pairing, i.e. permitting non-standard base-pairing at the 3rd anti-codon position. Lineage: Eukaryota; Viridiplantae; Chlorophyta; Chloropicophyceae; Chloropicales; Chloropicaceae. RNAcentral also lists the same sequence under 1 other name. The record is from RNAcentral.